This is a long non-coding RNA of Acipenser ruthenus (sterlet), 605 nucleotides long. RefSeq lists it as uncharacterized. The record is from RefSeq and is a predicted model, not a curated record. Lineage: Eukaryota; Metazoa; Chordata; Actinopteri; Acipenseriformes; Acipenseridae. The transcript is spliced from 3 exons.
CAACUCUUAGUAAGUUGAGAAACACACUGUAGUUAGGUUAUAAUGCAUUGAAUGCAUAAACACGCCCUCAAUUAGCACUAGUCUUGGACUACCUAACGUGAAGGUGAGAAUUAAUUUAUGUAUGCUGGAUUCGACUUAAAACUUGUUUGCAAAGCAAUCCCCAGCUGACCGUUUACACCCAUGUUGCAUCACGUCACUGCGUUAGCGGCGAGCACAUCCAUACUGUGAUACAACAGAAAAGCAAGGAUGCCUGCAGUGCUGGCAUCUUGUCACUUCACCCACCGAACCCCUGCAGCAGCUGUGCUGAGCUCCUGAACCCCAACACCUGUCAAAUAAACUGCUUUGCAAUAAAUGACUUCACUCAGUAUGUCACAGGCAUUUUCCAUCAUAGUAAGAAAACUUUGGUCCCAUCGGCAGCAGUGGUACAUUGGGCAAAUCAACCUGCUAAAUAAACUGCUGAAUAGCAAUUGAGGAAGACAAUGCUUACAACUGGUCAGGGUCCUGAACCAAUUUAUAUUACAAAUACUGUAGUCACUUAAAUAAGCAACUUGUUUUUAUUUUUCUGUGCUUACUCUCCACAUGCAUGGUAUUAAACUAUUUGAUAA